GAUUAAGAACGCAGCGAAAUGCGAUAAGUAAUGUGAAUUGCAGAAUUCAGUGAAUCAUCGAAUCUUUGAACGCACAUUGCGCCCGCCAGUAUUCUGGCGGGCAUGCCUGUUCGAGCGUCAUUACAACCCUCAGGCCCCCGGGCCUGGCGUUGGGGAUCGGCGGAGCCCCCCGUGGGCACACGCCGUCCCCCAAAUACAGUGGCGGUCCCGCCGCAGCUUCCAUCGCGUAGUAGCUAACACCUCGCGACUGGAGAGCGGCGCGGCCACGCCGUAAAACACCCAACUCUUCUGAAGUUGACCUCGAAUCAGGUAGGAAUACCCGCUGAACUUAAGCAUAUCAAUAAGCGGAGGA
RNAcentral lists this unclassified non-coding RNA (352 nucleotides) under soil metagenome. RNAcentral describes it as "partial contains 5.8S ribosomal RNA, internal transcribed spacer 2, and large subunit ribosomal RNA". The stretch from base 1 to 120 matches the Rfam family "5.8S ribosomal RNA", at positions 35 to 154 of the family's 154-position model. The record is from RNAcentral.